This 253-nucleotide ribosomal RNA is filed under the name uncultured bacterium. RNAcentral describes it as "partial 16S ribosomal RNA". It matches the Rfam family "Bacterial small subunit ribosomal RNA", at positions 524 to 776 of the family's 1533-position model. The record is from RNAcentral.
UACGGAGGGGGCUAGCGUUGUUCGGAAUUACUGGGCGUAAAGCGCACGUAGGCGGCUUUGUAAGUUAGAGGUGAAAGCCCGGGGCUCAACUCCGGAAUUGCCUUUAAGACUGCAUCGCUAGAAUUGUGGAGAGGUAAGUGGAAUUCCGAGUGUAGAGGUGAAAUUCGUAGAUAUCAAGCGGAACACCGGUGGCGAAGGCGGCCUUCUGGACAGUGACUGACGCUGAGAUGCGAAAGCGUGGGGAGCAAACAGG